CCCGGGUCUUGUACACACCGCCCGUCACACCUAUGGGAGCGGGAUGUACCAGAAGUAGGUAGGCUAACCGCAAGGGGGCCGCUUACCACGGUGCGUUUCGUGACUGGGGUG
Molecule: ribosomal RNA, 111 nt
Filed under: uncultured bacterium
Lineage: Bacteria
Description: partial 16S ribosomal RNA
Rfam family: Bacterial small subunit ribosomal RNA
Source: RNAcentral